RNAcentral lists this ribosomal RNA (293 nucleotides) under uncultured bacterium. RNAcentral's name for it is "partial 16S ribosomal RNA". It matches the Rfam family "Bacterial small subunit ribosomal RNA", at positions 505 to 796 of the family's 1533-position model. The record is from RNAcentral.
GUGCCAGCAGCCGCGGUAAGACGAACCGUGCGAACGUUAUUCGGAAUCACUGGGCUUAAAGCGCGUGUAGGCGGGCGGGUACGUCGGCCACUGAAAGCCCCCGGCUCAACCGGGGAAGUGGUGCCGAAACGGCCGGCCUGGAGGGGCGUAGGGGGACCUGGAACUUCCGGUGGAGCGGUGAAAUGCGUUGAGAUCGGAAGGAACGCCCGUGGCGAAAGCGAGGUCCUGGACGCCAUCUGACGCUGAGACGCGAAAGCCAGGGGAGCGAACGGGAUUAGAUACCCCGGUAGUCC